CGAANACUACACUGUCUCCCCCCUAAAAUCAAUGAAACUAAUCUCCUCGUGAAGAAGCGAGGAUACAAAUAUAAGACGAGAAGACCCCAUGGAGCUUUAAACAAACCCCAACUGCUCCCUCCCUAAUCAUAGAAAUUGAGCAUUAAUGACGGGUAGUUUUCGGUUGGGGUGACCGCGGAGUAAAACAAAACCUCCACAAUGAAUGUAAUAAAAUACUAAUAAAAGAACCACAAUUCUAAUAAUCAAAAAAUUGACAUAUUUGACCCAAACACUUGAUCAAUGAACCAAGUUACCCUGGGGAUAACAGCGCAAUCCAUUUUAAGAGCCCCUAUCGACAAAUGGGUUUACGACCUCGAUGUUGGAUCAGGGUAUCCUAGUGGUGCAGCCGCUACUAACGGUUCGUUUGUUCAACGAUUAAAACCCUACGUGAUCUG
This 434-nucleotide ribosomal RNA is filed under the name Leptopelis flavomaculatus. RNAcentral describes it as "partial large subunit ribosomal RNA". It matches the Rfam family "Bacterial large subunit ribosomal RNA", at positions 2005 to 2607 of the family's 2925-position model. The record is from RNAcentral. Lineage: Eukaryota; Metazoa; Chordata; Amphibia; Anura; Arthroleptidae.